Molecule: small nuclear RNA, 323 nt
Filed under: Ochotona princeps (American pika)
Lineage: Eukaryota; Metazoa; Chordata; Mammalia; Lagomorpha; Ochotonidae
Description: 7SK RNA (ENSOPRG00000020591.1)
Rfam family: 7SK RNA
About the family: 7SK was discovered as an abundant small nuclear RNA in the mid-70s but a possible function has only recently been suggested. Two independent studies have found that 7SK RNA binds the CDK9/cyclin T complex (known as elongation factor P-TEFb).
Source: RNAcentral
GGGUGUGAGGGCAAUCUGGCUGCGACAUCUGUCACCCCAUUGACCGCCAGGGUUGAUUCGGCUGAUCUGGCUGGCUAGGUGGGUGUCCCCUUCCUCCCUCACCACUCCAUGUGCAUUCUUCCCGAAGCUGCGCGCUCGGUCGAAGAAGACAACCAUUCCCGCUAGAGGAAGACCGGUCUUCAGUCAAGGGUAUACGAGUAGUUGCGCUCCCCUGCUAGAAACUCCAAACAAGCUCUCAAGAAAGUUAGCUUUAUCUGUGCACCAAAGACAGUAUAGAUAAAUGCCUUAGGGGACUGUCAGCAAGCUUUGCUUGCAUUUCUGAC